AGAGUUUGAUCCUGGCUCAGAACGAACGCUGGCGGCGUGCUUAACACAUGCCAAGUCGAACGCGAGAGUUUCUUCGGGAAGACGAGUAGAGUGGCGCACGGGUGAGUAACGCGUGGAUAACCUGCCCUGGUAUCUGGAAUAACAUCUCGAAAGGGGUGCUAAUACCGGAUAAGCCCACGGGGUCUUCGGACUCUGCGGGAAAAGGUGGCCUCUGAAUAUGCUACCGUAUCAGGAUGGGUCCGCGUACCAUUAGCUAGUUGGUAGGGUAGUGGCCUACCAAGGCUACGAUGGUUAGCUGGUCUGAGAGGAUGAUCAGCCACACUGGAACUGAGACACGGUCCAGACUCCUACGGGAGGCAGCAGUGGGGAAUUUUGCGCAAUGUGGGAAACCCUGACGCAGCAACGCCGCGUGAGUGAUGAAGGCUUUCGGGUCGUAAAGCUCUGUCAGGGGGAAAGAAGGGCACCUGGGGGUUUAAUAGCCCAAGGGGCUGACGGUACCCCAAAGGAAGCCAACGGCUAACUACGUGCCAGCAGCCGCGGUAAUA
RNAcentral lists this ribosomal RNA (545 nucleotides) under bacterium enrichment culture clone Cont137_3130. RNAcentral's name for it is "bacterial SSU rRNA". It matches the Rfam family "Bacterial small subunit ribosomal RNA", at positions 8 to 525 of the family's 1533-position model. The record is from RNAcentral.